RNAcentral lists this ribosomal RNA (497 nucleotides) under uncultured bacterium. RNAcentral's name for it is "partial 16S ribosomal RNA". It matches the Rfam family "Bacterial small subunit ribosomal RNA", at positions 28 to 507 of the family's 1533-position model. The record is from RNAcentral.
GAUGAACGCUGGCGGCGUGCCUAAUACAUGCAAGUCGAGCGAACAGACGAGGGGCUUGCUCCUCUGACGUUAGCGGUGGACGGGUGAGUAACACGUGGAUAACCUACCUAUAAGACUGGGAUAACUUCGGGAAACCGGAGCUAAUACCGGAUAAUAUAUUGAACCGCAUGGUUCAAUAGUGAAAGACGGUUUUGCUGUCACUUAUAGAUGGAUCCGCGCCGCAUUAGCUAGUUGGUAAGGUAACGGCUUACCAAGGCAACGAUGCGUAGCCGACCUGAGAGGGUGAUCGGCCACACUGGAACUGAGACACGGUCCAGACUCCUACGGGAGGCAGCAGUAGGGAAUCUUCCGCAAUGGGCGAAAGCCUGACGGAGCAACGCCGCGUGAGUGAUGAAGGUCUUCGGAUCGUAAAACUCUGUUAUUAGGGAAGAACAAAUGUGUAAGUAACUAUGCACGUCUUGACGGUACCUAAUCAGAAAGCCACGGCUAACUACGUG